RNAcentral lists this ribosomal RNA (705 nucleotides) under uncultured Bradyrhizobiaceae bacterium. Its description in RNAcentral is "bacterial SSU rRNA". It matches the Rfam family "Bacterial small subunit ribosomal RNA", at positions 28 to 776 of the family's 1533-position model. Lineage: Bacteria; Pseudomonadati; Pseudomonadota; Alphaproteobacteria; Hyphomicrobiales; Nitrobacteraceae. The record is from RNAcentral.
AGCGAACGCUGGCGGCAGGCUUAACACAUGCAAGUCGAGCGGGCAUAGCAAUAUGUCAGCGGCAGACGGGUGAGUAACGCGUGGGAACGUACCUUUUGGUUCGGAACAACACAGGGAAACUUGUGCUAAUACCGGAUAAGCCCUUACGGGGAAAGAUUUAUCGCCGAAAGAUCGGCCCGCGUCUGAUUAGCUAGUUGGUGAGGUAAUGGCUCACCAAGGCGACGAUCAGUAGCUGGUCUGAGAGGAUGAUCAGCCACAUUGGGACUGAGACACGGCCCAAACUCCUACGGGAGGCAGCAGUGGGGAAUAUUGGACAAUGGGCGCAAGCCUGAUCCAGCCAUGCCGCGUGAGUGAUGAAGGCCCUAGGGUUGUAAAGCUCUUUUGUGCGGGAAGAUAAUGACGGUACCGCAAGAAUAAGCCCCGGCUAACUUCGUGCCAGCAGCCGCGGUAAUACGAAGGGGGCUAGCGUUGCUCGGAAUCACUGGGCGUAAAGGGUGCGUAGGCGGGUCUUUAAGUCAGGGGUGAAAUCCUGGAGCUCAACUCCAGAACUGCCUUUGAUACUGAAGAUCUUGAGUUCGGGAGAGGUGAGUGGAACUGCGAGUGUAGAGGUGAAAUUCGUAGAUAUUCGCAAGAACACCAGUGGCGAAGGCGGCUCACUGGCCCGAUACUGACGCUGAGGCACGAAAGCGUGGGGGAGCAAACAGG